UACGUAGGGACCAAGCGUUGUUCGGAUUUACUGGGCGUAAAGGGCGCGUAGGCGGCAAUUCAAGUCAUCUGUGAAAUCUCCGGGCUUAACUCGGAACGGUCAGAUGAUACUGCUUUGCUCGAGUGCGGAAGGGGCAAUCGGAAUUCUUGGUGUAGCGGUGAAAUGCGUAGAGAUGUGGAGGAAUACCGAUGGCGAAGGCAGCCCCCUGGGAUAACACUGACGCUCAUGCACGAAAGCGUGGGGAGCAAACAGG
Molecule: ribosomal RNA, 253 nt
Filed under: uncultured bacterium
Lineage: Bacteria
Description: partial 16S ribosomal RNA
Rfam family: Bacterial small subunit ribosomal RNA
Source: RNAcentral